Molecule: ribosomal RNA, 491 nt
Filed under: uncultured bacterium
Lineage: Bacteria
Description: partial 16S ribosomal RNA
Rfam family: Bacterial small subunit ribosomal RNA
Source: RNAcentral
GAUGAACGCUAGCGACAGGCUUAACACAUGCAAGUCGAGGGUCAGCAUGAACUUAGCUUGCUUUGUUUGAUGGCUACCCGCGCACGGGUGAGUAACGCCUAUGCAACUUACCUAUCAGAGGAUAAUAGCUCAUCGAAACAGGAAUUAAUGCUCCAUAAAACAGCGGUUCCGCAUUGGAACAAUUGUUACAGAUUCAUCGCUGAUAGCUAGGCAUGCGUUCCAUUAGGCUGUUGGCGGGGUAACGGCCCACCAAACCGACUAUGGAUAGGGGUUCAGAGAGGAAGGUCCCCAGCAAUGGUACUGAGACACGGACCAAAGUCCUACGGGAAGCAGCAGUGAGGAGUAUUGGACAAUGGAGGAGAGGCUGAACCAGGCAAAUCGCGUCAAGGAAUAGCGAUCCAUGGUUUGUAAACUUCUUUUAUACGGCAAUAAAGUGCGGUACACGUCCCAUUGUGUGUGUCCCGUAUGAAUAAGCCUGGGCUAACUCCGUG